Mus musculus (house mouse) is the source of this 5197-nucleotide long non-coding RNA. RefSeq annotates it as predicted gene, 34978. NCBI's taxonomy places the organism in Eukaryota, Metazoa, Chordata, Mammalia, Rodentia, Muridae. The transcript has 4 exons. The record is from RefSeq and is a predicted model, not a curated record.
AUAAAAUGGGAAUUUGCAGGGUGACUGGGGCCUUAGUCCUCAUUUGGGCGGACUUUGGUGGUGGCUAGCAAGCCGGUUAGCAGAACAGCGCACUUCUGCAAAUUGACAAGCAGUGUCCAGUGCCUAGGCGCCUUUGCAAGGCGUCUGCUGGACCGCUGUUUGCAGCAGCGAUGGCUCCCUUUGCUGGUUCUUUAACUGUUUUUCUCAUCUUUAGCGUCCUCAAUCAAAAAACAAUUUUUAAAAAAAAUCUUUGUUUGAAAAUCCAAACCUCUACUUGGUAUUUCCACAUUCAGCUCCACUGAAAUCCCGGGUGGGCCGAAAGAAGAUGUAAUUGUCUCCUGUUUGGACACCCAACUCAUUUCCCUGAAUUGAGCAAAUGCCAGGGCUUUGUCUGCGCUUGUGGCUUAAAUGCUGUGUGCUUUCUGCGCCCGGGUGGUGAGCUGUAAAGACUGGGGUCUCCAAGUCUUUCAUCAUCGUUCUAAUAAGGAAAACCAAAUCGGGCGCAUAAUGUCAUCAGCCCUGGCCCGACCUUGCGGGGACCUCCGCAGCCCGAAGAUGUCUCCAGCGGCCCCCGGCGCAGCCACAACGCGUCGCCUUUCAGCUCCUGGCGGUCCCCACAAAAGCCAGACAACAAUAUCAAUUAAUCAUGCAGCGGGCAAACAAGGAGAUUUAUCCCGCGACAAACAGCCCCACCGAGAGCCGUUGAAUGGGCGUGAUUAGCAUGUGAAAAGACGAGCAAAACUCCGUGGUUCAACAGCUAAAGAGCAAUUUGAUGGGACUGGGAUGGGGAAAUUACUUGAUUAGCGUCCGUCGGAGGAGAGCACGGUUACAGCCCCUCAGCUUGGAAUCCAACUGCGGAACAAAACGCGCUGGUAAACGCGGCGACCUGAAGGGACAACGCGCUAGCGAGGGUGGCGCGGGGACCGGCACUGACACGCGAGCGACCGUGGGGGGCGGUAAUAGUGGGCAAAGUGGCUGACCUACUUAGCCACUCCCCAAAGCGACAGGAGCUGUAACAGCUGUCCCACCUAGGCUUCUAGGCCUAGCCCGGGCGGGCAUGACUUCCCCAGCUGAUGUUGGAGGUCCGCCCUAAUUUACACUCUCCCGACUCCGGCCGGGGAGAAGAGUGUCAAGGCUUGUGAGAAGGGAAAGGUCCUCCCACAUCCUCCGGGGAGUCCCCUCGGUGGCUCCUGGAGCGUAGUCUACUACUCAGCAGCCUCUGCAGCGGCCCCAAGUCCGUUGCUAGGGCGCACGGCUCUUCAACCAGAAACUCUGAGGUUCGGUUUGCACAGGCAGUGAACUUUGGAUCGCCUUAAGACCGCUUUUCCUGAACCGCGGAAUUUAACCGCUUGGUUCCAACCUCUUAGAAAAGCUGCCCUUGUGGCCUUAGCACUUGGCAGAAAGAGGGGUGCGGGGGGGGGUCUGCAGUCCACCCGGAAGAGGUGGGGAGUUGAAAGGGGGCACUCCAAUUGAGGAUGACCCGCCUGGAGGCUCUCGAGGUGAGCUAAGUGCGGCGCCAGGGACUGCACGAUCGCCUUAGUGUUAAGGACCGCCUGGAGCUGGCGCCAGAGGGAUGCAGAGGUGGACCCUUGGGGUCGUGGAUCCCAGACUGGCUCUAGCCGCUAGAGAAGAAAAAGCCUUGCUGGAGAGCGUGAAGUUUUGCUGGCGGUGGCGGUAGUGACAAGGCUCUGAGGAGGAGAGACCUGGGACCGGAAGGGCGAGACACCGCUAGUGAAGCCCAGACCUGUAGCAGUCCUCGAGCACACUAACUCUUCAAGGCGACCUAGCUGGACAGAGAACUCUAUGUCUUCUGCCCCGCACUGUCUUUCUCUGAUGAAUGCUUAUGCACCUGUGGUUCGAAGCGCUUCCUGGGGCGACCAAAGCUGUGCAUUUUAAUUCCAAAGUCAAGUGAUUGAGCCCUGUCAAAGUUGGGAGAGGGAAACACGAUGGAGACUGCUCAGAGUUGGCUUUAUAGUUAUUUUUGCAAGUUCUGCCCGGUACCCACAGUAUUGGCCAGAAAAGCAAAAGAGGCCGCUGCAAUUUAUUCCAAUGGGCGGUUUUUAAGAAGCUGGCAAUUUGAACCGGCUGGGUGUUAUUUAGUGCAAUAUGAAAUCAAAUGAUCCUAUUUCUCAAAUAACAGUGUCUGUGAGGAGAAGUGAAUCCUCUGAAAGGGUAAUUGUCUGCUGAUGGUGUUUCCCAUUAUACCCGAUCUUGGCCUAAAUGAUGCUGGGCGGCAGGGCGGAGAGUGAGGGGUGAAAUCAAAGCACGCAACUCGGGCUCCGGAGGAAGAAAAGGUCCCUCUAGAUCGCUUACCCACAAGUCUAGCGCACAAUGCGGCCGAUUGCAUCACCGAUUUGGAUGCUAUUCUGCAGAUCUCCGACAUCAUCAAACUGAAGUGAUCUUGGGAAUAAGAGAAUAAAACUGACUCUCUUUUCGAAACUUUAGGAAUCCUUAGUAUCUUGGCCGCAUUGUUGAGCCAACAGAUAACCAAGAUAGUAAAACCCAGUUUGGCCAUGCUCCCACCUCCUUAUCCCAAGUUAAUAUUGAGAACACAGUAGUUCUUUCCAAGACACACUCUCUAGGCUUUUCCCUGUCUGGUCUCCUCGGAGCCCACAUUAGAUCUUGUAUAAGGAGUUGCCUGCACCAGACAGCAAUUUGGUGUGUAUGGUAGGAAGAGAAGGGUUCACACAGGACUUUAAAAUUGAUUCUCUGUAGAUCCAAGCCAGUUUCUGGCAGAACCCGAUAUGGGGCCAGCAGUGUCUGAGUAAAGCACAGAUGAAAGACAAACGAAAGGAUGGGUUUAGUUACUGGAACAAAAGUGUCCCACCGGAAACUACAUGUUAGCCUUGGGGCAUGUCAGUACCCCAGAGUCACAAAGGCAAUAUUCUGGGCCUGCCUUUCUUCAAACUUCUGCUUUAUCUACUGAGACAACAGCUUUGACCUUAAACCCUCUCUAACACCUUGAGGGGAGUGGCCUCUUUAGAGCCUGAGCCCCGGACAGAAGAGCAGCCUUAGAAUGCAGGUCUGUCCAGGUUUUAAGCCACAACACUUAAGGCCAAGGACCAAAGCAGCUUCCAGGCCCUUCACCUUCCAGGCCCCUUCACUUCCCCACCCUUCACAAUUUUCCCUUCUACCAACCACCUCCUCCCCCUUCAGAAUUUUUUUCUCCCUGGAGGAAGAAUAUCCUGAAAUUCUUGUGAGUUUACAUCUGUUAACUUGGAGUCAUUUCAGGCCAAACCUCUGUGUAUAGGGUUUGUUUCUGCUCUAGAUGGGUAGGUUUCUUUUCAUUUUCUUUGGGCAUAUAUAAUGUGUCAUAUAUACAUUUGCAUGCACAAUAAGAUACAUACAUAUACAUACGUGCUUAUGGCACAUUUUUCUAUAUCACGGCAUAUUUACAGGUAUACUUAGUUAUUAGUGGUUUUCUUCCCUCCACUAUUUGAAAAUAGUGGUGCUAUUUUCAAAUGAAAUUAGGUGGGAAGGGUGUCAUUUUUCUCUAUCCAAGUAGCUGCCUUAGGAAGCUUGCAAUCAUUUCUCUGACGGAGGCAUAGCCACAUCUACAGCCCAAAGCACCGAACACCAACGCGCUAUUCUCAGACCCUUACCCUUUUAUUCCUGGUUAAAAGAAAGGAGGCAUCCUGGUUUCCACCCGCGGUUCCCCUAGCUCUCGAGCCCCCACCCCCACCCGUGACCAUUUCUGAGCUAAAAGUUCAGCCUAGCUAGGGGCCUUCUGCAAUUCUGGACAUGGUAUUUUGAUUUUUAUCCUUCUACUUUGGCUCUCAACAUAUCUCUGGGAUGCAGUUUCUUAGGGUCUGCUCCAGGAGGGCCUGCUCACCUCUGGCUAAAUGGUAAAGCCUAAAAAUAGGGUCGUGAAAUAAGAGGUGGCGUUCCCCGGGUCCCACCAGCUGCCUCUCAGGACCCCUCUGAGGCUUCUGUCCCCAGCGGGGAAUCUUAGCCCUAUUGAACUGCAAAGGCCGCUAGCCACCUGCCUCGCCGGAGGCAGAACUGUGUAGCUACAGCCUCUGCGGAGCGUCCAGCCUCCGCGCUUUUACUCUGCGCGGCCCUGAGCUCUCUUCUUGGGAGGAAACCCCUAGUUUUGCUGAGGCUUCUGCAGUUCCAGCACAUCGGUUUGAUGGGGCGGCUGCACACACCUUCCAGGUUGAACCCUGGGCUGGCGUGAACACAGGUCAGCCCAAGAUUGGGCCAGGAACUGCGGCCUCUGGAAGAGUGGCUUCGGGUGGUCCUACCCGACGGUCACCAGGGCGUUUUUAGCCUCAGAAACAUCCUAGACUGCGGCAGAGGGAAGGAGAUUUAAGAUCUGACAGUUCCCUGCCUGCGACUGUUUUCCUGUGACCAGCUAGCUACUUUGCCAUGAGAAGAGUGGGCAGCGUUGACCGAUGCUACCCAGGGUCCACACCUCCCCUCCCCUCACCUCCUCUCGGAAAGCGACCCCUUCCCCCACCCGGGUUCUUCCUCCCUCCCUCUCCGCAGACCCACUGACCUUGGGAAGGCGCGGACCCACGGUGGCGGAGCCUCUCCAGGCAACCUUCGAAGCUGGAGUGUAAGGCUCGAGCGCUGCCGGUACCCGCUGGCUGGUCCGUGUCCCCCACCGCGGCCGGGAGUGUGCGGAGCUCCCUUCCCCCACGCCUUAUAAUUUAAUCACAUGAGAUAUUAAAUGAUCAAGCCGCUCAUUAAUCAUCACUGGAGUUAUUGAGACUGAGCACGGCGCCUUGUGUUUUGACAGCCCAGAAUGGUUCACCCAGCGCCGGUGCGUCUAGAUUUGGGGGAUGGGGGCUCUCUAACCACUCUUAAGAGACACGCAAGCCCCACGCGGAUUGAUGGGACCUCUUGCUUAGGAAAAUUUUUUUGGGAAAGCGUAGUCCCAGCUUUAGAGUUCAGCGGAGAGUUUGUUGGAAGCCCAUACACAUCUCCCAUUUUCUUAAAAUCUAGAUUUUAAUUGAGGGAAUUACAUAGACGACAGUCGACUUCAACUGCUAGUAUCCUUUUUCUGCAGUUUUUCUGGAGGGUGGAUUUGACCGAAUCCCUGUGUCUUCUUUACUCACUGUGGAUAGUGUGAAAUACAGAUGGAGCCAGGUCGGUGAAGACAUUUCCAAGGAUGGUUUUCUUAACUCCAGUGCAAUGAGGCUGUCCUGUUUUUCUGCACACCACAAGUACUAAUAAAGAAAAAAAAAAUAAAUGU